UAAGUGAAUGCUUUGCCACAGUCUUCGACCAUGUCAAAGGAAGCCUGGGCUCAGAUUCGCUUAGGC
Non-coding RNA from Caenorhabditis brenneri, 66 nucleotides. The record is from Rfam. Lineage: Eukaryota; Metazoa; Nematoda; Chromadorea; Rhabditida; Rhabditidae.